Long non-coding RNA from Struthio camelus australis, 2359 nucleotides. RefSeq lists it as uncharacterized. Lineage: Eukaryota; Metazoa; Chordata; Aves; Struthioniformes; Struthionidae. The record is from RefSeq and is a predicted model, not a curated record.
CUUCUGAGGCGUGUGCGCAGGCAAAGACACUUCCGUCGAAACCCAGGACGUCUUGGCACUGCAGAGCCCGACCAAGCAGCGAGAAAGAGCAGUCAAUAAACCGAGCUGGUAUUGUUCAAGAGAAUAUUCAGCCUCCAGGAUUAAAAGUGUGGUCUGAUCCAUUUGGAAGAAAGUAAUAUUGCUGGCUGAGUGCGUGGCAUGGCAGGACUGAAGACAGACUUCAGUUGCCUCUUCUUACGCUGAAGUGAGUCUUCACGUGUUGCUGGAGAAGAAUGCCAAAUAUGCUGUGCGGGCAUGUGAGGAGCCAGAAACGCUUCUGGUUAGGAUGCCAAGAUGAAAAAACAUACUAGUUUUGAUAGUGGAUCCUGGGGCGUAAUGCACAGAAUGUAAGCGAGCUGAAUGAUUCUUGAGUUUAGAACUGAAAUAUUUAUUUCCUUGACAAGAGGGAAGUGGAAUUGUUUUUGUGGUUAGUCUGUAAACAUUUCUAGAAUAAAUUAUGAAUAGAAUAAAUGAUGCAGACCGCUACAGCUUCCUCCCUGGUUUGAGAAUUACUUUUUGUGGUUUUAUUAUGAAAACAUAAUAGAAUGAUAGAGGUAUAUACUGAGAGAGACCAGUGCAGAAAAUAUAAAAUGAGUGUAAAUAUGUAUAUUAAAAUUUUUCUUUUAAACCAAUGUGUAUUUUUUAUUUCAAUUUUUUGCAAAUAUGUUAACACACAAUGUUGGGGUGGAAAAAUAGAUCCUUUAAAGGUUCUAUUUAAAAAAAAAAUCACUUCUUUAUCCUGAGAAUAACGAUCAUUAGUAGGGGCAAUCCUUUACUAAAUUGUUCUAAAAAUCUUUACCCUAAUUGGAUGCCUUUCUAAACAAUAGGUUAUGAAUGAAUCAAGUGUUUUUGGAUUUCAGAAGAAAGAAACUGUCUAUUAUAAACUGUCUGUAAUCUGUAACCUACCUGAUACUGCCAGAGUACUAAUACAGCGUGUUCACUUAACUUGAAUUUACUACCUUUUUUCCCCCCUCACUUCUCACUGUAUUCUCAAAACUUCAUUACGGACAGUAGCACUUUAAAGAUCAUUACAAGAUCUAUGUAAUUUACAUGAAUGUAUGUACCAGGAGUAUUAUUUAGUGAGUUACUAGGCUUUAGUUUAUUUUUAUGUAUAUCACACACACUUGAAUAAUAAAGAUUAAAGACUUGACAGGUAUAGUAGUCUUUUUUUCAAACUACCAUUUUGUUACCUGCUAUUCCUUUUCUACCUUCCAUUGUCAUUACCCUCUCACUCAGAUACUCCUUUUUUUUUUUUUUUUAAAAAGAGACUUCUAUUAUCACAGUAAGUAUUACAGUUCUUUCAGUUUGCUUGUGAGGAAAAUGUGACCACAGUUGAUGCCUGUGAGUUCUCAGGUGCUUUCAUACCAUAUGUAAUGGUUGAAGCCAGAGUGAGUCUACUGCAUUCGCUUACUUAAGUGAUGUUGACAGAAAUUUCACUGCAUAGCAUAGCGCAGCACUGUCUUUGCUAGGAAAAGAGGAACCAAUUAACAAAAUCAAGAGCAAAGAGGUUUCUAACAUUUAAACAUUUCUUCAGUGAGUGGAAGAAGGGAGUGACUUUUUUUUUUUCCUUCGACAGACUUGUUUCUUCCAAAACCUUUUUCCAGCUGAAAUAAAGCAUUGCUUAAAUAUGCAUAUGUUAUUUAUAGCUGACUAGCUGUGAAACAAAGGAGUGUUUUAGAAGAAACUGGAAAUUGUUUAAUGAUGUUGCUGCUACUUCUGUAAAUUGGUGGCACAAAUGCUUAAAGAAGCAUAGAUCAUGUAGUGUGGAGCAGUUAUUAGCCCAUCACUUCUGCAGGAGAAAUGAUGUGACACAGCAUGUUACUUAAUCAGGACUUACGAGAUAAAACCGAAUCUCUACAAUUCAUUUGCUUUGUGAUGUGGAGUAAUUUGCUGAGUCUGGCUCUUGCCUAGAGAACCAUUAGGUGAUUUCAGAACAGCAGCAGUGUGCUAGCAGGUUCUGAGCCUUUUGCCUUCAUUUUACUCAAAUGUUGCAUUUAUAAAAUCUUGCAUGCCUGUUGGUCAUGAUCUGUAGUUCCUAUCAGUGGAAGAAUGAGAUGACAGUAUAUACAAAUAGGCUUUAAGAAGUUUUGUAAUAUCCUGUAAAAAAUUUGCAGCAGUGCAUACCUGUUGCUUACUAUUGCAGUGAAUAAACUCAGAAAAUGAUGAUUUUUUUUUCUUAAUGAUCACCACUUUCUUGUUUGCCAUGAUCCAUCUAAUUAAGUGGGCUGAUACACAAUGUGUUAAAAACGAGGAUAGUGAAAGUCUUUUUCAAAUGUUUGAUGUUUACUGUUUUUGGAAACCAAUAAAAAAUAAAACUUAA